CUUCAAUAAAUUAUUAUGAAAGCCUUACAUUAUUACGCUCAUUAUGUACUCUGUUUCUUAUGUUGUCCACCGGUUUUUUUUUCUUGAAUUGAAUAAAUAGAUGAGCUAUUAAUAAUAAUCAAUUUAAUUUAUAAAGCGACCCAAGGUAACUUGCUCAUUGCACUGCAAAAAAAUGACUUUCUUCGUGUUUUUGUCUUGUUUUCAGUACAAAUAUCAAAAAAUUCUUAAAUUAAGAUGUAUUAAAAGUUUUCUUGAAAUAUACUUUUUCAUAAACACUUAAUUUAAAACAUUUUUUUUAUUCCAUUGGCUGAUAUUUUUGCUUAUUUUCCUAGGUCAGGGUUUUUGAUAUUUUUACUGAAAACAAGACAACAAUACAAAGUAAGUCAUUUUUUGCAGUGUGACUCCAUUGAAUGUUCUUGUGUGUUAAAGAAAGUCUCUCUUUUUGUGUGUGGUGUUGUGUGAUGUAGAUUAAAUAUGACCGGGCCAAAACGGACAUGGCAGAAGGUCAAAAUCAAAAUCUGCAGAAUGCAGUGAAAAAGAAUACCCAGAGAUAAGGCACGGGUGGUGGGUCACCAAAAGCUGACCUCACCCCAGCAGAGGCCAGCUUUGGAGCUAAAUAAAGGCAGGCCUGUUGGAGGGGAUCCCUGGGGGAAAAGAGACAAGCAUAGGUCCCUCACAAGAUGCCACCCGCUUCAUACAAGUGUCUGGCAGCACUGUGUUACUGUUAAAGCCACCAGCACGAGCACCUGACGAUGCUGAUCCAGUGAGUACUCCAUCAAAGGCAUACUGUAGGCCUGGAACGUCUUGUCUACUAGCUUCAAUAUGAAUCCGUUUAAAUGUGAUGGG
Non-coding RNA from Paramisgurnus dabryanus, 846 nucleotides. The record is from RefSeq and is a predicted model, not a curated record. Lineage: Eukaryota; Metazoa; Chordata; Actinopteri; Cypriniformes; Cobitidae.